Molecule: ribosomal RNA, 492 nt
Filed under: uncultured bacterium
Lineage: Bacteria
Description: partial 16S ribosomal RNA
Rfam family: Bacterial small subunit ribosomal RNA
Source: RNAcentral
AGUGAACGCUGGCGGUAGGCCUAACACAUGCAAGUCGAACGGCAGCACAGUAAGAGCUUGCUCUUACGGGUGGCGAGUGGCGGACGGGUGAGGAAUACAUCGGAAUCUACUUUUUCGUGGGGGAUAACGUAGGGAAACUUACGCUAAUACCGCAUACGACCUACGGGUGAAAGCAGGGGAUCUUCGGACCUUGCGCGAUUGAAUGAGCCGAUGUCGGAUUAGCUAGUUGGCGGGGUAAGGGCCCACCAAGGCGACGAUCCGUAGCUGGUCUGAGAGGAUGAUCAACCACACUGGAACUGAGACACGGUCCAGACUCCUACGGGAGGCAGCAGUGGGGAAUAUUGGACAAUGGGCGCAAGCCUGAUCCAGCCAUACCGCGUGGGUGAAGAAGGCCUUCGGGUUGUAAAGCCCUUUUGUUGGGAAAGAAAAGCAGCAGGUUAAUACCCCGCUGUUCUGACGGUACCCAAAGAAUAAGCACCGGCUAACUUCGUG